This 1080-nucleotide long non-coding RNA is filed under the name Ornithorhynchus anatinus (platypus). RNAcentral's name for it is "lncRNA (ENSOANG00000036080.1)". Lineage: Eukaryota; Metazoa; Chordata; Mammalia; Monotremata; Ornithorhynchidae. The record is from RNAcentral.
GGCGGGGAUGGGGGGAUGGGGGGAUGCAGGGAUGGGGGGGUUGGGCUGAGCUGGGGAGGGGGCAGAGAGCGCGCAGCCCCUUCUCCUUCCCCCCCCCCAAAUCCAAUGGGAAGGGGGAGGAGAGCAGCAACAGCCUCAGCCUCCAUAUGCACCCCAGUAGUUUUCCCUCCCCUUUGCAGCCAGUCAGACCGCCUCGGGGCCCCAACCUGGGAGCUGAGUCCUCAGCUGUCGGUGACUUGGGGUUUUUUCCGGCGAACUGCGGGUGCACACGGGUGUGCAUGAGUGCAGGGGUGUAAGUGCACGCAAGGGUGUAUGCGCCCGGGGGGGCCGCCCAGCAGGAUGUGAGCGGGCCGCAGGUGGGAGCCCCCGCCCCCUCCCCGCACCUGCGGGGCCGGCAGGGAGCUUCGGGCUUCGGGGAGGCGACGCCGGCGGCGGCUGCUCCGAGGGUCCGGUCCUGCCGAGGACCUAUAGAUGCGGGACUGGAGGGGGCCCGGGGCGCUGGCGUGAGCCCCCCCCCCCCCCCCCCCCAGGACCGGCCAUCCCGGGCGGUCCCGGGUGAGCGGCCACCGCCGAGGGAGCCGGGGAAACUCCGCCCUCUCCGCCCACCGCCUGCGCCCAACUUCUCCGGCUCCGCCAACUCCAGCCGCCCGCGGGACCCCGCACCGGGACCCCCGCACCGGGGAGCGUCCGGCCCCAGCCCACCCCCGGAGGGCACCGGCCGCCUUGUGGCCCGGCUGAGCUCCGCUUCUCCUCGUCCGCCCCGGCGAUUUCUCCCCGAGCAGCUGCCAAGGAAAGGAAAAGAUGAAGUCUCUGUUUUUCCUGUUUCUUGCCAUCUCUUCUGUAGUCAGCACAAAUUUGAAGUUGGUGUCAAAAAGAAAUUCGGGUAAGUGGCUGAAGAUUCUUUCUUAAUGUUUGGUCUGGCUGGUGUAGUUGUCUUACCAUUUUGAGGGAUGUGCUUCUGGUUACUCAAUCUGUUCCCUUUGGAAUGUCUCAUUAAUCACUGAGAUCACUUACAUUUUAGAAAGUCUGCCAAGAGGCCAAAAGAUAAAGUUUCAUGUAGCUCAUUGAGGGCUUAGGAAG